RNAcentral lists this ribosomal RNA (777 nucleotides) under Venturia tremulae. Its description in RNAcentral is "partial large subunit ribosomal RNA". It matches the Rfam family "Eukaryotic large subunit ribosomal RNA", at positions 108 to 908 of the family's 3401-position model. The record is from RNAcentral. Lineage: Eukaryota; Fungi; Ascomycota; Dothideomycetes; Venturiales; Venturiaceae.
CUCAAAUUUGAAAUCUGGCGCAAGCCCGAGUUGUAAUUUGCAGAGGAUGUUUCGGGUGAAGCCACGGUCCAAGUCCCUUGGAACAGGACGUCAUAGAGGGUGAGAACCCCGUACCUGGCCGUCGGUGCCCCCCGCUGUGAAACUCCUUCGACGAGUCGAGUUGUUUGGGAAUGCAGCUCUAAAUUGGUGGUAAAUUCCAUCUAAAGCUAAAUACCGGCCAGAGACCGAUAGCGCACAAGUAGAGUGAUCGAAAGAUGAAAAGCACUUUGAAAAGAGAGUUAAAAAGUACGUGAAAUUGUUGAAAGGGAAGCGCUUGCGGCCAGACUUGCCCGCGGUUGCUCAGCCCGCCUUUUGGCGGGUGCACUCUUCCGCGGUCAGGCCAGCAUCGGUUUGGGCGGUCGGAUAAAGGCGCCGGGAACGUGGCCUCCCCUCGGGGAGGUGUUAUAGCCCGGCGCGCAAUGCGACCAGCCCGGACCGAGGUUCGCGCUUUGCUAGGAUGCUGGCGUAAUGGCCGUAAGCGGCCCGUCUUGAAACACGGACCAAGGAGUCUAACAUCUAUGCGAGUGUUUGGGUGUCAAACCCGUGCGCGUAAUGAAAGUGAACGGAGGUGGGAACCGCAAGGUGCACCAUCGACCGAUCCUGAUGUCUUCGGAAGGAUUUGAGUAAGAGCAUAGCUGUUGGGACCCGAAAGAUGGUGAACUAUGCGUGAAUAGGGUGAAGCCAGAGGAAACUCUGGUGGAGGCUCGCAGCGGUUCUGACGUGCAAAUCGAUCGUCAA